CAGUCGCCGCGGUAAUACGGAGGGUGCAAGCGUUAAUCGGAAUUACUGGGCGUAAAGCGCACGCAGGCGGUCUGUCAAGUCAGAUGUGAAAUCCCCGGGCUUAACCUGGGAACUGCAUUUGAAACUGGCAGGCUAGAGUCUUGUAGAGGGGGGUAGAAUUCCAGGUGUAGCGGUGAAAUGCGUAGAGAUCUGGAGGAAUACCGGUGGCGAAGGCGGCCCCCUGGACAAAGACUGACGCUCAGGUGCGAAAGCGUGGGGAGCAAACAGGAUUAGAGACCCCUGUAGUCCCUGUCUCUUAUAC
Molecule: ribosomal RNA, 301 nt
Filed under: uncultured bacterium
Lineage: Bacteria
Description: partial 16S ribosomal RNA
Rfam family: Bacterial small subunit ribosomal RNA
Source: RNAcentral